Molecule: ribosomal RNA, 403 nt
Filed under: uncultured bacterium
Lineage: Bacteria
Description: partial 16S ribosomal RNA
Rfam family: Bacterial small subunit ribosomal RNA
Source: RNAcentral
GACGAACGCUGGCGGCGUGCCUAAUACAUGCAAGUCGAACGCAGUGGGGACGGGUGAGUAACACGUGGCUAACCUCCCAUCAGAGUGGAUAACAGUUGGAAACAGGUGCUAAACCCAUACGGAUGGAUGGACCCGCUGUGCAUUAGCUAGUUGGUGGGGUAACGGCUCACCAAGGCCAAGAUGCUUAGCCGACCGGAGAGGGUGACGGGCCACACUGGGACUUGGACACGGGCCAGACUCCUACGGGAGGAAGCAGUAGGGAAUAUUCGACAAUGGACGAAAGUCUGAGCGAGCAAUGCCGCGUGCGUGAAGAAGGUUUUCGGGUCGUAAAACUCUGUUGGUAGGGAAGCGUUACCUGAACAGAAAGCCACGGCUAACUACGAGCCAGCAGCCGCGGUAAUAC